CCUACGGGAGGCAGCAGUGGGGAAUAUUGGGCAAUGGAGGAAACUCUGACCCAGCGACGCCGCGUGCGGGAUGAAGGCCUUCGGGUUGUAAACCGCUUUCAGCAGGGAAGAAGCGAAAGUGACGGUACCUGCAGAAGAAGCACCGGCUAACUAUGUGCCAGCAGCCGCGGUAAUACAUAGGGUGCAAGCGUUGUCCGGAAUUAUUGGGCGUAAAGAGCUCGUAGGUGGUUCGUCACGUCGGAUGUGAAAAUCUGGGGCUUAACCCCAGACCUGCAUUCGAUACGGGCGAGCUUGAGUAUGGUAGGGGAGUCUGGAAUUCCUGGUGUAGCGGUGGAAUGCGCAGAUAUCAGGAGGAACACCAAUGGCGAAGGCAGGACUCUGGGCCAUUACUGACACUGAGGAGCGAAAGCGUGGGGAGCGAACAGGAUUAGAUACCCUGGUAGUCCACGCCGUAAACGGUGGGCACUAGUUGUGGGGACCUUCCACGGUCUCUGCGACGCAGCUAACGCAUUAAGUGCCCCGCCUGGGGAGUACGAUCGCAAGAUUAAAACNCAAAGAGUAGUAGGACGUGNGAGACGCGACGACGACGACGACGGAGGAGGAGG
Molecule: ribosomal RNA, 605 nt
Filed under: uncultured bacterium
Lineage: Bacteria
Description: bacterial SSU rRNA
Rfam family: Bacterial small subunit ribosomal RNA
Source: RNAcentral